UUUUUGGAGAGUUUGAUCCUGGCUCAGGACGAACGCUGGCGGCGUGCCUAAUACAUGCAAGUCGAGCGAAUCUGAUGGGAGCUUGCUCCCUGAUGAUUAGCGGCGGACGGGUGAGUAACACGUGGGUAACCUGCCUGUAAGACUGGGAUAACUCCGGGAAACCGGGGCUAAUACCGGAUAACUUUUUUCUUCGCAUGAAGGGGAAUUGAAAGAUGGCUUCGGCUAUCACUUACAGAUGGACCCGCGGCGCAUUAGCUAGUUGGUGAGGUAACGGCUCACCAAGGCGACGAUGCGUAGCCGACUUGAGAGGGUGAUCGGCCACACUGGGACUGAGACACGGCCCAGACUCCUACGGGAGGCAGCAGUAGGGAAUCUUCCGCAAUGGACGAAA
RNAcentral lists this ribosomal RNA (391 nucleotides) under Heyndrickxia oleronia. RNAcentral's name for it is "bacterial SSU rRNA". It matches the Rfam family "Bacterial small subunit ribosomal RNA", at positions 1 to 380 of the family's 1533-position model. The record is from RNAcentral. Lineage: Bacteria; Bacillati; Bacillota; Bacilli; Caryophanales; Bacillaceae.